GACGAACGCUGGCGGCGUGCCUAAUACAUGCAAGUUGAGCGCUGAAGGUUGGUACUUGUACCCACUGGAUGAGCAGCGAACGGGUGAGUAACGCGUGGGGAAUCUGCCUUUGAGCGGGGGACAACAUUUGGAAACGAAUGCUAAUACCGCAUAAAAACUUUAAACACAAGUUUUAAGUUUGAAAGAUGCAAUUGCCUCACUCAAAGAUGAUUCCGCGUUGUAUUAGUUAGUUGGUGAGGUAAAGGCUCACCAAGGCGAUGAUACAUAGCCGACCUGAGAGGGUUAUCCGCCACAUUUGGAACUAGACACCGCCCAAACUCCCACCGGAGGCAGCAGUAGGGAAACUUCGGCCAAUGACGAAAGUCUUACCGAACAACGCCGCGGUAGUUAAGAAAGGUCUCGGAUCUUAAAACUCCUUUUGUAGAGAAAAAAGUUGGUGAGAGUAGAAAGCUCAUCAAGUGACGGUAACUACACAGAAAGGGACGGCUAACUACGUG
This 497-nucleotide ribosomal RNA is filed under the name uncultured bacterium. RNAcentral describes it as "partial 16S ribosomal RNA". It matches the Rfam family "Bacterial small subunit ribosomal RNA", at positions 28 to 507 of the family's 1533-position model. The record is from RNAcentral.